UAGGGAGUUUCGACAAUGGGGGCAACCCUGAUCGAGCAACGCCGCGUGUGUGAUGAAGGUCUUCGGAUUGUAAAGCACUUUUAUAAGGGAUAAAUGGUAUUGAUAGUGGAAAGAUUAAUAUUUGAUAGUACCUUAUGAAUAAGUAACGACUAACUUCGUGCCAGCAGUCGCGGUAAUACGAAGGUUACGAGCGUUAUCCGGAAUUAUUGGGCGUAAAGAGUGAGCAGGCGGUUUAUUAAGUUUGAAGUCAAAUGGAUAGGCUCAACCUAUUCUCGCUUCAAAAACUGAUAGACUAGAGUAUGUGAGAGGUAAGUAGAACUCCAUGUGUAGCGGUGAAAUGCAUAGAUAUAUGGAAGAAUACCAGUGGCGAAGGCGGCUUACCAGCACAAGACUGGCGCUCAGUCACGAAAGCGUGGGUAGCAAAUAGGAUUAGAUACCCUGGUAGU
RNAcentral lists this ribosomal RNA (446 nucleotides) under uncultured Erysipelothrix sp. Its description in RNAcentral is "bacterial SSU rRNA". It matches the Rfam family "Bacterial small subunit ribosomal RNA", at positions 356 to 794 of the family's 1533-position model. Lineage: Bacteria; Bacillati; Bacillota; Erysipelotrichia; Erysipelotrichales; Erysipelotrichaceae. The record is from RNAcentral.